RNAcentral lists this unclassified non-coding RNA (307 nucleotides) under Athalia rosae (coleseed sawfly). RNAcentral describes it as "misc RNA ENSAEAG00005003598.1". The record is from RNAcentral. Lineage: Eukaryota; Metazoa; Arthropoda; Insecta; Hymenoptera; Athaliidae.
GAAAGAAUAAAUGCAAGAAUAAAAAUUGCUUGCAAUUCUAGUAAUUGAUUGGAACAUCAAUAAACAUGGAACUACAUAGUAUCUUAUAACAAGAUAGGUGAAAUUAGCCAGUGAAGAGAUUCAGCAGAUAAUAUUGCGCUGAUAUGUGAUCGGUGUGAAAAUAAAUUUUUCUAAUCAGGGGUCACCAGGUCCGAGUAACGGUGAAACUACUUCGGGAGGCUCUACAUACGAUAAGCCAAAGAUACGGAUCUCACGUCACGUCAAACCGCCUUAGAAAUUUAAUUUUAUUGUUCCGAUUAUAUUGGAC